GGAUGAGCUGCUUUGUCACUUCAGGCACAGCAGGGACUUUUACCUCUGCAAUGCCUGCUGAAUGCAGAGCUGGCUUUUGCAUGAGCAGUUGGGUAGCUGCUCACGUUCUGAUUGCUGAAAGGUCAUUGCAAGCACAGGGACAUCCUGUGUGAAGAGCUGCUUGUCUGUGGCUUUCCUUUUGGCUGUUUCUGUGUUACAGCACAGGUGUGCUGCUGUCCUCUUGGGCCUCUCUGGUUCAGGGAGCACAAAGCUGUGCUGUGGGGUGGCUGGCUUUGUUGACACAGGCAGAUGUCUGCUCUCUCACAGGCUGUCUGGAGAAGCAGAGCCAUGCUGCAGGUAUCCCCAAACCCUACAUAAUCCAGGCCCUCCGGGGAGGCGAGGGAAGCCUGGACGGCGUGGAGAGCCUGGACCUGCAGUAAGUAUCGUGGAUUUUACAGUUGGAUCGACAAAGUUAAGGCUUUCUCCUUCACCCUCCCCUUCCUUUCUGUGUCAUUGCAAAAGCACAGCAUUUUUUGGUAGAGGUGUGUCUGGAAGGAAAAUUGGUACCAGAUGCUGCUGUAUUUUUUUCACAAUUGUAGACAAAUGGUGUGGGGGGAGUUCUAAAAUGUUUAACUUGCUGCCCUCGGGGACUUCCAGUAAUUUUAAACCCAGCAAAUAUUCAGAAGGAAAAAAAAAAAGAAAGGUUUCCCUUUAGAGUUUCUUUACUCAGCUUCUAUUGAACCCC
Molecule: long non-coding RNA, 724 nt
Filed under: Phasianus colchicus (ring-necked pheasant)
Lineage: Eukaryota; Metazoa; Chordata; Aves; Galliformes; Phasianidae
Description: lncRNA (ENSPCLG00000010138.1)
Source: RNAcentral